This 253-nucleotide ribosomal RNA is filed under the name uncultured bacterium. RNAcentral describes it as "partial 16S ribosomal RNA". It matches the Rfam family "Bacterial small subunit ribosomal RNA", at positions 524 to 776 of the family's 1533-position model. The record is from RNAcentral.
UACAGAGGUCUCAAGCGUUGUUCGGAUUCAUUGGGCGUAAAGGGUGCGUAGGUGGCGCCGUAAGUCAGGUGUGAAAUUUCGGAGCUUAACUCCGAAACUGCAUUUGAUACUGCGGUGCUUGAGGACUGGAGAGGAGACUGGAAUUCACGGUGUAGCAGUGAAAUGCGUAGAUAUCGUGAGGAAGACCAGUGGCGAAGGCGGGUCUCUGGACAGUUCCUGACGCUGAGGCACGAAGGCCAGGGGAGCAAACGGG